AAAUGAAUCCAGAGAUUCGAAAAAUUCUUCCGCCUGGCAAGAGAUGAUUGCGUUUGGCGUGAGCAAGAUGUUCGGAGCCGGUUUCCGCUUGUUUGCUGCCAGCCCGCCUCUCUCCAGGACGGACGGCUGUGCAGGAGAGCUCGGAAGGCCGAACGCAGUGGGUCCUGGCGUCGUUGGUGUUGGUGAACCUGAAAGGGCAUGCUGAUGCAGUCCCGAGAGAUCCCCUGCCUGUGGGCGUGAGAUAAACACGAAUGUAAGUCAACAAGGUCCCGCGUGCCAUCGCAGCCCGCGAAACAAGUCCACCGUCUCCACAGGACACAAAUGAUUCCUUGAUAAAUGUCCAUAGUUGA
This is a long non-coding RNA of Hippocampus comes (tiger tail seahorse), 350 nucleotides long. RefSeq lists it as uncharacterized. The record is from RefSeq and is a predicted model, not a curated record. The transcript is spliced from 4 exons. NCBI's taxonomy places the organism in Eukaryota, Metazoa, Chordata, Actinopteri, Syngnathiformes, Syngnathidae.